This is a non-coding RNA of Camellia sinensis, 3662 nucleotides long. Lineage: Eukaryota; Viridiplantae; Streptophyta; Magnoliopsida; Ericales; Theaceae. The record is from RefSeq and is a predicted model, not a curated record.
UCUAAAAAUUUUAUAAAAAAAUUGCUUAAAAUAUUAAAAAAAUCCAAUAAAAAUAAAAAAUACGAAAAAUAAGAAAGUAAAAUUUCCUGAAAAGUAUUUUUAGAAAACUCAAACUAAGCAAAGUGAAUAAUAAUUGUGCCAAGCAGCGGUUUUGUUUAUCUUAUCUUAACGUUCCUCAAAAGAAAAAAAAAAAAAAAAAUCUAGAGUGAUAGGAUUUGUAUUGUAUAUAUAUCAAUUUCAUAUUCUUCAAAAGACAAAAAAAUAAAAAGUUGUGGUGGUCCACUACUUGGUGAAAAUUGUUAGUUUUACCUUUGGGUAGUCGACCGAGUGAUCGAUCAUUUGAUAAAAAAAAUAAUAAAAUAAUGUAUAACUUGUGAACUAGUAUUGUUACAUCAAGCGACAUAUAGCAAUCACAAAUUUUGCAAAUACAUAGUAAGGCUGAUGGAGGCUCUUGAAAGUUCAUUUGCUUGCUUUUGCUGUAUAUUUUGGUCAGAAAUGAGUUUGACGAGAUUAGUGUAGAUGCUCUUCUCAUUAUUGUUUCUCUAUUUUUUGACAAAAAGUAUUUGAGGCGACUAAAAUUCUCCUGUAAUUUGACAUACAAUAAUAUAACAUAAUAUGUGUCAAUUUUUUAUAGAGACUUAAUUAUAUAGGGUUCGCUUGGGAUGUGGAUUGAUUUUUUGGCUAUUUUAGCCUAGAGCUAAAAAGCUUGGUUUAGGAUAGGUUUUUUUUUACUUUUUUGACUUUUUGGUGAGGUAUCCACAUAUGAAAUUACCCAAAUGCCAUUAGGGUGAAGGUGUUCCCCCAACCUGUUGGCCAGUGCUGGGCGGGUGGGUUGAGGCUGACACGUCAGCCGAUUAAUUUGGUUUUUAUUUACUUAUUUGUUUAGCAUGCUUUUUUAUGUUUUUUUUUUAAUUACGGGAAAGCGAUAAUUUCGGCAUUUUUAAAAAAAGAAAAAGAAAAAGGCAAACAUCUCAAAAUAUUUAUGUCAACGAUUGUAACCGUUUGUUGGAACAUUUUUAUUUUUAUUUUUUUUUGGUUAAAAUUUUUUGUAAAAAUAAUUUGGAAAAUUACUUUUUCUCUCAUUUACCCAAUUUGUUAAACAAAAAAUGGUACAAAUCAUACUCCUACCUUUUACCCAAAAUUCAGUUGACGGCCACAUAUUACGUGCCCAUUUUAAUUUUUUUACUGUUUUUAAUUUUUCUGUUACAUUCGUCAAAUCAUAAUACUGCGGUUUGCCAUUGUGCUAUCCUGUUUAAUUAUUACUAAUACGUAACAAAAUUUGUCCUUCUCUAACCCAAUAAUUUUACAAAAUAAGGCACGUAAAUCAUUCAAAUUUCAAUUUUUUGUGUACACACAUACAUAUUUGUAUAGGAUAAUAUAAUCACAUAUAUCCCAACCGUGGCUUAAUAAUGUUACAAGCAUACGAAUAUUUUAGUUGAAUAUUAUAUGUUUCCUAGCAUUCCGUUAUUACGCAUGUACACUAACUUGUCUCGUAUGCGAACUCGCACUAAUGCCAUAUGCGGGUUCUCAUCCCCAACCAUUAAACCAUCAUCGUCAUGUGGAACUUUUGGUAUGGCAUUUACUAUUGCCAUAGCCUCUUCCUCGUUAAAGAUGGGAUUAAUAGUUGUUGGAUUGCCUGUAUUUCUACGUACAUAAUUAUGUAAUGCCAUUGACGUACCUACCAACUAAACUUGCAAAUUUGCAAAAUCAUACCGAGGCAUAUUUUGAAUAAACCCCCCAUCAAUUUGUCCAUGCGCCGAAAGUGCAUUCCACUACAUUCCGUAACGACGAGUGCACUUUGUUAAAUAAUUCCCUGGGGGUGUUUGUUGUCCUAUGUCUUUCAGUAACGCGGAAUUCUUAUUGGUGGUAACGGCUGCCUUUGAAUGGUGCUAGGUAACCUAUCCAGUUCGGAUAACUGCCAUCAACAAGAUAAUAUUUUCCUCUAGAAAGUACCAGAAUUUCAAACAAACCACCAAGUUUUGUUUAAUUUUUUGUAAAGAUGUUUUCCUAAAUAUUAUGUACUGAAAAAAUUGAAAUGCAAUGUGUUACCUUCUUCAGGAUGUGAAAAAGGGACAUUGUCAUUUGUUAUUCUCUCAUUAAAGAUGCGACUAUCGUGUAUACUUCCUUUCCAUCCAAGCGAUACAAAGGUGAAACACAUGUCAAAAUUGCACGCGACAAUGAUAUUUUGGGUGUGACAGUGUUUCUUACCAAAAUAUGUUGGGGCAUCUAGCCCCGUAACCCGCGCAGUAACAUGUGUUCCAUCAAUGGCUCCGAUACAGUCUUGCCAACAACUCAGUUAUCUUACUACUAGGGGUACAUGUAAUUAUUUUUCACACGUCACGUCAAAAUAAUUUCUAAACAUUGAAACAAACUUAACUGAGUGAGGUUUAAAAAUAGUACCUUGAAAGGAAGGUAUUUCCGUUUGGACCGCACAUAUGGAUGUAUAUGAUGCUGACUAUAUGUUGGCCUACAAUGUGUAACAAUGAACUCCUUCAUCACCGCUAAUACAUUAUGCACGUGUCAGGACACAGUCUCCCUCGAAUGUUGGAACCGUUCUUGGAUUUCGCUAUUAUGAAAUCCUCUCAACACGUGGAUAAACAUUGCAACACUUUCUUGAACAACUAAUCCAUGUUCACGUUGCAGUACUUGUAACCCGAAAUCAGUUACUAACGUAUGACACAAAGACGCAAAAACUUUCUUCGGCAUGCACAUAUUUUCCUCAAAUCGACCUACAUGGCCCUUAUAUAGUUCAGUUACCCAUGCAUGUCAGGUCAAAAUAGAAGUGCGACAUGGCGUUUUACACGUGUUUUUCAUACCACUCUUGGACAUACCAGCAUGCUUGGAGGAAUGUCCAGUUAUUUUGUUGUUGAAGCCGUAUGGCCAUUUGGUUAAGCAUUUCCAUUCCACCGUUAUAGUUGCUUCCAUUCCCGGUGUUCAUCACGUUGAUUUAAGCAACACUUACAAAAUAGACUAAAUUAGCCACAAGAGACAAAACACAUUCACGUGCUGGGAAACAAUUCAGCGUCGGUGGAAUUUACCAAACUACCCCCCAGUGCCUCUGUAUCACACCAGCACCACUUCAAACCACACAACACUCUAUCACCUAUGGCACCGACAGACGCCGAAGGAAGGAGGCAAAAACAUGACGCUGAAUGGCGAAGAAGAAUAGCAAAACUCUCUAUAGCCCAAGGCCACUGGAGUGCACAUUGGCGGCAACACUGCGUCCAUCGCAUCCUCAACACCACCGAUCGUUAGAUGUUACUUAAAUCGACAUGAUGAAUACCGGGGAUGGAAGCGACAAUGACGGUGUAAUGGAAAUGCUUAACCAAAUGGCCAUACAACUUCAACAACAAAAUAACUGGACAUUCUCCAAGUAUGCCGGUAUGUCCAAGAGUGGUACAAAAAAUACAUGUGUAAGAUGCCAUAUCGCACUUCUAUUUUAACCGGACAUGCAUGGAUAACGGAAAUAUAUGCGGACCAUGUGGGUCGAUUUGAGGAAAAUGUGUGCAUGCUGAAGGAAGUUUUUUCGUCUUUGUGUCACACAUUAGUAACUAAUUUCGGGUUACAAGUAUCGCAAUGUAAACAUGGCUUAGCUAUUCAACAAAGCGUUGCAAUGUUUAUCCACGUGUUGAGAGGAUUUCAUAAUAGCGAAAUCCAAGAAU